This is a long non-coding RNA of Amblyraja radiata (thorny skate), 338 nucleotides long. RefSeq lists it as uncharacterized. The record is from RefSeq and is a predicted model, not a curated record. The transcript has 3 exons. NCBI's taxonomy places the organism in Eukaryota, Metazoa, Chordata, Chondrichthyes, Rajiformes, Rajidae.
UAUAUAUGUGUAUGGUGAAAAAUUCUGUUUUGUACAUGGAUUUUCUUAAGUGGGAGUAAUUUCAACUCCUCAGAAAUGCCUCCAGUCUUGCAUUGAUGCGCUAGAUUUUAAAAUUCUGUAUUUGAUAGCCAAACACAACUACUUGUCUUUCUUUCAUGAUUUUAUUCCCACUUUGAAGAUUAGAUGUGUAUGUGUAUCCCUUGAAUGUAACCUUCGGGCUUGGAGAUGAGAAAUUAAGAUUGUUGAAACAAAUGCAACAAAAUUGGAUGAUCGACCAUGAUCAUAUUGAACGUUGGUGCUGGCACGAAGGGCCGAAUGGCCAACUCCUGCACAUAUUU